CCUACGGGAGGCAGCAGUGAGGAAUUUUCCGCAAUGGGCUAACGCCUGACGGAGCAAUGCCGCGUGGAGGAGGAAGGCCUGUGGGUCGUAAACUCCUUUUCUCAGAGAAGAAGAUCUGACGGUAUCUGAGGAAUAAGCAUCGGCUAACUCCGUGCCAGCAGCCGCGGUAAUACGGGGGAUGCAAGCGUUAUCCGGAAUUAUUGGGCGUAAAGCGUCCCGAGGUGGCUUACCCAGUCGACUGUGAAAGCUCAGGGCUUAACCUUGAAACUGCAGUCGAAACUUGUAAGCUUGAGUACGGUAGAGGCAGAGGGAAUUCCCGGAGGAGAGGUGAAAUUCGUAGAUAUCGGGAGGAAGGCCAAAGGCGAAAGCACUCUGCUGGGCCGAUUUACUGACACUGACAGACGAAAGCUAGGGGAGCGAAAGGGAUUAGAUACCCCGUGUAGUCCUAGCCGUAAACGAUGGAUACUAAGUGUUGCGCGACUCAACUCGCGCAGUGCUGCAGCGUAACCGUACGGUAACGGUUAACGUACCCGUCCCGUCGGGGUAGGUAGUGCGUCGCGAACGAGUAGAACGUACGAAACGGAAGUUAGACGGCGUGAGACGUAGCCGACGGACGACCGACGAGGGAGGUAGG
RNAcentral lists this ribosomal RNA (634 nucleotides) under uncultured bacterium. RNAcentral describes it as "bacterial SSU rRNA". The stretch from base 1 to 535 matches the Rfam family "Bacterial small subunit ribosomal RNA", at positions 338 to 873 of the family's 1533-position model. The record is from RNAcentral.